Molecule: ribosomal RNA, 250 nt
Filed under: uncultured bacterium
Lineage: Bacteria
Description: partial 16S ribosomal RNA
Rfam family: Bacterial small subunit ribosomal RNA
Source: RNAcentral
AACGAACGCUGGCGGCAGGCCUAACACAUGCAAGUCGAACGCCCUAGCAAUAGGGAGUGGCAGACGGGUGAGUAACGCGUGGGAACGUGCCCUUCGGUUCGGAAUAACUCAGGGAAACUUGAGCUAAUACCGGAUACGUGCGAGAGCAGAAAGAUUUAUCGCCGAAGGAUCGGCCCGCGUUCGAUUAGCUAGUUGGUGAGGUAAUGGCUCACCAAGGCGACGAUCGAUAGCUGGUCUGAGAGGAUGAUCA